AAGAAGUGAAAAUCCAACAGAAAAUAUUUGAACCCAGGAAUAAAAUAGAAGCCUGGAAGACUGAAGGAUAUUCACCACAGGUGAAAUCCCUCUCAGCAGCUGGCUUAUGAAAUAAUGUGAAGGGAGGCCUUAAUGAGCAGAACGCACCCUCAGCUGGAGAUAAAUAUAUGCAAAUGAGAUGCACAAACAAAGAAGCCUGGACAGAGAAAUAUCUGCAAUUCCAGCAAAAUGCUGCCUGCAGCUCGAAGAUGAACAGCUUUGAUAAAAUGGUAACAAAAAGCACCUUUUUAUCCUCCAGCGUGUUUUACAUUGCAAUAGACCAUUGUCAUUGCAACCCAGUGGAGCAUGCAGAGGUUUUCUGCACUGUUUCAGAAAACUGUUUAAACAUUUGUUUUAAGGCAUUCAUGAAAUAUAAUCAAUGAACUGC
This 427-nucleotide long non-coding RNA is filed under the name Homo sapiens (human). Its description in RNAcentral is "HSALNT0303173". The record is from RNAcentral. Lineage: Eukaryota; Metazoa; Chordata; Mammalia; Primates; Hominidae.